This is a non-coding RNA of Acanthosepion pharaonis, 113 nucleotides long. The record is from the annotation of a GenBank genome assembly. NCBI's taxonomy places the organism in Eukaryota, Metazoa, Mollusca, Cephalopoda, Sepiida, Sepiidae.
UGACGGCCAUAUCACGUUGAAACACCGGUUCUCGUCCGAUCAACGAAGUUAAGCAACGUUGAUCCUGGUCAGUACCUAGAUGGAUGAUCGCCAAGGGAAAUCAUGUGCUGUAA